GCAGCUUGUUACGGCAGCAUAUACUAAAACUGGAACGAUACAGAGAAGAUUAGCAUGGCCCCUGCGCAAGGAUGACACGCAAAAUCGAGAAAUGUAGGAGCAGCAG
Ictalurus punctatus (channel catfish) is the source of this 106-nucleotide small nuclear RNA. The record is from Ensembl. Lineage: Eukaryota; Metazoa; Chordata; Actinopteri; Siluriformes; Ictaluridae.